GAGUAAAUAAAACAUUCUUUUUUAAAUUAAAGAAGUACUAAAUUCUGUAUUCAGCAGUGAGUAAUUCCAGUCACUACUCCCACUACAGCUAGUAAGUCAGCCCCACGCAAAUGAACUUAUGACCACAAAAAAUGGAAGGCUUGAGCUCUCUGAAAAUAGAGAGGAUAAAAGAUCGAGAUCAUUUCUAAACUCAAAAGGAUAGGUGAGGUGACUAUCUUGCUUUCUAUUUUGCUUGAGCUCUCUCAAAAUAGAGAGGAUAAAAGAUCGAGAUCAUUUCUAAACUCAAAAGGACAGGUGAGGUGACUAUUUUGCUUUCUUUUU
RNAcentral lists this long non-coding RNA (321 nucleotides) under Salvia miltiorrhiza (redroot sage). RNAcentral's name for it is "long non-coding RNA (SMIL_LNC012106)". The record is from RNAcentral. Lineage: Eukaryota; Viridiplantae; Streptophyta; Magnoliopsida; Lamiales; Lamiaceae.